ACAUCAGAGUGGAGCCAGUGACAUUGA
RNAcentral lists this non-coding RNA (27 nucleotides) under Cricetulus griseus (Chinese hamster). Lineage: Eukaryota; Metazoa; Chordata; Mammalia; Rodentia; Cricetidae. The record is from RNAcentral.